Long non-coding RNA from Cannabis sativa, 2698 nucleotides. RefSeq lists it as uncharacterized. The record is from RefSeq and is a predicted model, not a curated record. The transcript is spliced from 2 exons. NCBI's taxonomy places the organism in Eukaryota, Viridiplantae, Streptophyta, Magnoliopsida, Rosales, Cannabaceae.
AUUCCCACUUGACUUUUUCUUACAAACAAUCUUAAAUUUCCUCUCUCUGUCUCAUCCUCCCGAUCUCUAUCUCUUUGUCUCCCCUAUGUUUUUUUGGUGCAGCGAUGGAAAGCCACAGCUGGCUCUAGCCAUCAACAACCCUCUUCUACCCCAAAAAAUCUCUCUCUUCCCUUGCACGACGACACUGCCAGGCAAAGAUGGCCACCCUAGUGCUCGCAGAAACCCAAAUGGUGACCAGUGGCCAAUAGACCUCAGCCUCUUCGUUUGCAUCUAUCGACAGAGGAUGACUUCAAACAUGAUGGUUCAUUCUCUCCCUCUGGUUCUCGGCCCGAGCCUCACGCAAACCUCCGUCUCCGGUCUUCUUCCCCAACGACAGGUUACCAUUGUCCAAGAGCCAUCAUCAUCAACGAACAUAGUCAGAUUAAAUAUUUUGUAUAUUUUUUCUUAAAAGAUUUAUGGGUUUAUGGGACUCGUUGACAAUAAGAUUUAUGGGUUUUGUUUAUAUAUAUAUCUGACAUUGUGGUUUUAAUUUUUAUAUUAGUGUGAUGAUUAGGACUAAAUUCAAGUGAAGUGAUGGAUGAGAAAUUACAAUAUCAUAUUGCUUGUCUAUGUUUAAGAUCUGGUUUUAUAAUUUCUUUUUUGAUGUAUAAAUUUUUUGUUAAGUUUAAGACAUUUUAUUACUUAGAUUUGAAUUUAGGUUUUUGUUCUAUUAAUUUUUGUAUUUUUUUUCUUUAAAGAUUAGGAAUUUUAGAUGUUUAUGCCCAUGUUUAUAAAUUUUUGAUUUAAGUGUUUUUUAGGUCUGUAUGUAUUUUGUUAUAUUUUUAUUAUAUAGGUUCUUAUAGAAAGCUAAAUUUAAACAUAUUAAGUUUGGUAUAUAGUAAUUAAAUGAUAUCAUUAAUUAUUUUAUUAUCUAUAAUUAAAUUAUUAUUAAAAAUUUAUAAUAUAUAAUUUAAACUAAAAAAAUUAAACAUUAUUAAUUUUCUAAAAAAUAAAAUUAUAAAAUUAAAUGAAAAAUAUAAAAAUAUUAUAUUGCUUUCCUAAUUAAAAAAAAUUAUUAAUUUUCUAAAAAAAAUUAAAAAAAUUAUUUUGAGAAAAUUAUAUUAUUUUUUUUAGAAAAAUAUUUAAUAUAGUGGCACUUUUUCUGUGUCACUAUACCUCUAAAAAUAGUAAUGAAGAAUAAAAUAAAAGAAAAAAAAAGAUAUAGUGACACUUUUUGUGUGUAGCUAUUACUUUUUCAGUCUGACAAAAUUUGACUUUAAAUGCCUAUAGUGACGCGCAGUGAGUGACUGUAUAAGGGUUUAGUGACACGCGUGAAGUGUCACUAAAAAUUGUCUUUCCAGUCGCCCUCAUUAGUGACGCGUGGUGAAGUGUCACUAAAUGAGUUGAGAGUCACUCAAUGUGUAUCACUAAAACCUAUUUUUCUAGUAGUGGAAUGUCGGGAAUAGGCGGGAUUUUAGAGUUUCCCAAAAUACCCCUAAGUACCCUUUUAUGCCUUUUACUGUGGGAAGGGCAAAGUGGUCUUUUUACUCAUUUGUAUGUUUUGUCUUUUAGUGAAUUUUAUGUUAAUGAGAAAUCAGAUUUUUAAUGUUUAUUUUGGCUGAAGUGAUUUAAUUAAACCAUCAUUUUAUCCCAUUUUAUCCAUUUUUCUAAAAAAUAAGAAAAUUGAAAAGAUAUAUAUAUAUAUCUCUCUCUCUCUCUCUCGUUUUUCCCUUAGUACCCAGCUAGGGUUGUGGAUUUUGCUACUUCAUCUAGGGAUUUCAAGCAAAUUUUUGUGGUUUUAACUCAAGGUAAGGCUCUAGCAACUCUCUUUCGGUUUCUUGAUUUUAAAGAUAGUGAAUCAUGCAUGUUUUUGCAAGUUUAGUGGCUCUUGUUGUUGUUGUUGUUGAGUUAUGUUUGCUGAAGCUAAAUUAUGUUUUUACAGAGUGUUUUGAUCAGAUUUUUAUAGCUAGUUAGUUGGAUGAGAAAGCUUUGAGUUUUUGAACUACUCAAGCUUGACUCAUCAAUGGUGAAUUUUGAUUCUAAGCUUUGAAUGUUGUUUUGUUGCUUGGAAAAUGUUUAUUGGGGUAUAAUAUGCAGGUCUGAAAACUUUGGUUGAGUUUGGAAACGUUUUGUUUAGGGUUUGAAGCUUUGUUGGUUUUCUGGGUAAAACCGGCUAACCAGUUUUACACUGCUUGUAAAACCGGUUACCCGGAUUUUGCAGCAAGGGGUGAAAACUAGUUUUUUUCAGCUUGUCGUUUCGUGUUAGUUUCAGGUUUUCAGACAGUUUAUUCCCUGCUAGUUUGGGAUAUUUGUGUAUUAAGUUACAGUAGGUUAAGUUUUGGUUUUAAACCUUUGUCCCGGUUGUGAUUUAGCGGAUCACUUAUAUGUUUUGGAAUCAAUGGGAUUUAGGAGCCUAUAAUUCGCCGAGCAGUUCUUCCACUCCAGUUGACCGGCACACCUGAAUUCGGAAUUAAGGUAAGGGCAAGGCCAAAGCUGAGGAAUUGUGAGGACGAGCAGAUGGAGGUUGUACAUGUCGGGGCAGUUAGGUCUGGAGCGUACGAUCCUCGGGACAUCAGGACUUUUGUUAUUAGUCGCUGGGCAACAAAUAUUUUGUAAAUGAAUAGCGAACUUUUGUAAAGUAUUUUUUAUACGAGAUUCUGAAAUAUUUUGUAUGUAAUAUUAUAAGUUUUUAAUUAAAUAAGAAAAUUUUAAUUAAUCA